Molecule: small RNA, 1147 nt
Filed under: uncultured beta proteobacterium
Lineage: Bacteria; Pseudomonadati; Pseudomonadota; Betaproteobacteria
Description: bacterial SSU rRNA
Rfam family: Bacterial small subunit ribosomal RNA (bases 1-463)
Source: RNAcentral
GUCGUGAGAUGUUGGGUUAAGUCCCGCAACGAGCGCAACCCUUGUCCCUAGUUGCUACGCAAGGGCACUCUAGGGAGACUGCCGGUGACAAACCGGAGGAAGGUGGGGAUGACGUCAAGUCCUCAUGGCCCUUAUGGGUAGGGCUUCACACGUCAUACAAUGGCCGGUACAGAGGGUUGCCAAAGCGCGAGCUGGAGCCAAUCCCAGAAAGCCGGUCGUAGUCCGGAUUGCAGUCCGCAACUCGACUGCAUGAAGUCGGAAUCGCUAGUAAUCGCGGAUCAGCAUGUCGCGGUGAAUACGUUCCCGGGUCUUGUACACACCGCCCGUCACACCAUGGGAGCGGGAUGUACCAGAAGUAGGUAGGCUAACCGCAAGGGGGCCGCUUACCACGGUGCGUUUCGUGACUGGGGUGAAGUCGUAACAAGGUAGCCGUAUCGGAAGGUGCGGCUGGAUCACCUCCUUUCUAGAGAUGACCCAUGUCUUCAAGUGUCCACUCUUAUCGGUUGUUGCCGCGUAAAACGAGCGGCCAGCGAAUGCCGGAUACGGGCCUGUAGCUCAGCUGGUUAGAGCACCGUCUUGAUAAGGCGGGGGUCGAUGGUUCGAAUCCAUCCAGACCCACCACUAAGACUGCUCCGGAGCCCAUCGCUGCUUUAGACCCGACGCAGCAAACAAGAAGCCAGGGCCGUUAAGGGGUAUUGAAGCGAGAGGGGCUGUAGCUCAGUUGGGAGAGCACCUGCUUUGCAAGCAGGGGGUCGUCGGUUCGAUCCCGUCCAGCUCCACCACUUAGGAAGCCGGAGGCCAAGCAUCAGCAAAUCCAGCGCAGAGGGCAGACGUAAACGUCGACGUUUACUUCUGAUCUUUGGAUCGGUACCGAGAAGCUCGGUUGUUCUUUAACAAAAUGGAAGAAGUAAAGCGCACACGACGGAACAAUGUCGUGUGCUGGGUUAGAUUGUAUCGAACCAUUUUCUCCUAGUCCGAGAAAGUGGAAAUCGCAAACACCCGUGACAAAGAGCAGCAGUGCUCAGCGUUAUGGGGUCAAGCGACUAAGUGCAUGUGGUGGAUGCCUUGGCGAUUACAGGCGAUGAAGGACGUGGCAGCCUGCGAAAAGCUCCGGGGAGCUGGCAAACAAGCAUUGAUCCGGAGAUGU